RNAcentral lists this ribosomal RNA (382 nucleotides) under Natrarchaeobius chitinivorans. Its description in RNAcentral is "bacterial SSU rRNA". It matches the Rfam family "Archaeal small subunit ribosomal RNA", at positions 1 to 383 of the family's 1478-position model. Lineage: Archaea; Methanobacteriati; Methanobacteriota; Halobacteria; Halobacteriales; Natrialbaceae. The record is from RNAcentral.
AUUCCGGUUGAUCCUGCCGGAGGUCAUUGCUAGUGGAGUCCGAUUUAGCCAUGCUAGUUGUACGAGUUUAGACUCGUAGCAGAUAGCUCAGUAACACGUGGCCAAACUACCCUAUAGAUCCAGAUAACCUCGGGAAACUGAGGCUAAUCCGGAAUAGUACUCUCAGGCUGGAACUACAGAGAGUGUGAAACGCUCCGGCGCUAUAGGAUGUGGCUGCGGCCGAUUAGGUAGACGGUGGGGUAACGGCCCACCGUGCCAGUAAUCGGUACGGGUUGUGAGAGCAAGAGCCCGGAGACGGUAUCUGAGACAAGAUACCGGGCCCUACGGGGCGCAGCAGGCGCGAAACCUUUACACUGCACGCCAGUGCGAUAAGGGGACUCCA